Molecule: ribosomal RNA, 380 nt
Filed under: uncultured eukaryote
Lineage: Eukaryota
Description: partial 18S ribosomal RNA
Rfam family: Eukaryotic small subunit ribosomal RNA
Source: RNAcentral
CAAUAGCGUAUAUUAAAGUUGCUGCAGUUAAAAAGCUCGCAGUUGCAUUUCCGAGGCAAGGGAUUAGUCCGACCUUUGGUGGGUAUUUAAUCCUCUUGCCUCGUCCUUGAGUGGUGCUUCUUGGUAUUAAGUUAUCGAGGAGAUAGCCGCUCAUCGUUUACUGUGAGAAAAUUAGAGUGUUCAAAGCAGGCUUAUGCCGUUGAAUAUAUUAGCAUGGAAUAAUAAGAUAGGACCUCGGUACUAUUUUGUUGGUUUGAGAACCAAGGUAAUGAUGAAUAGGGACAGUUGGGGGUAUUCGUAUUCAGUUGUCAGAGGUGAAAUUCUUAGAUUUACGGAAGACGAACUACUGCGAAAGCAUUUACCAAGGAUGUUUUCAUUAA